AGUGAACGCUGGCGGUAGGCCUAACACAUGCAAGUCGAACGGCAGCACAGUAAGAGCUUGCUCUUACGGGUGGCGAGUGGCGGACGGGUGAGGAAUACAUCGGAAUCUACUUUUUCGUGGGGGAUAACGUGGGAAAACUUCCGCUAAUACCGAAUACGCCCAACGGGUGAAAGCAGGGGUUCUUGGCACUUUGGGGGUUUGAUGGAGCCGAUGUCGGAUUAGCUAGUUGGCGGGGUAAAGGCCCACCAAGGCGACGAUCCGUAGCUGGUCUGAGAGGAUGAUCAGCCACACUGGAACUGAGACACGGUCCAGACUCCUACGGGAGGCAGCAGUGGGGAAUAUUGGACAAUGGGCGCAAGCCUGAUCCAGCCAUACCGCGUGGGUGAAGAAGGCCUUCGGGUUGUAAAGCCCUUUUGUUGGGAAAGAAAAGCAGCAGGUUAAUACCCCGCUGUUCUGACGGUACCCAAAGAAUAAGCACCGGCUAACUUCGUG
This 492-nucleotide ribosomal RNA is filed under the name uncultured bacterium. Its description in RNAcentral is "partial 16S ribosomal RNA". It matches the Rfam family "Bacterial small subunit ribosomal RNA", at positions 29 to 507 of the family's 1533-position model. The record is from RNAcentral.